AUGCACGCUGGCGGCGUGCCUCAUACCUGCAAGUCGAGCGAACAGACGAGGAGCUUGCUCCUCUGACGUUAGCGGCGGACGGGUGAGUAACACGUGGAUAACCUACCUAUAAGACUGGGAUAACUUCGGGAAACCGGAGCUAAUACCGGAUAAUAUAUUGAACCGCAUGGUUCAAUAGUGAAAGACGGUUUUGCUGUCACUUAUAGAUGGAUCCGCGCCGCAUUAGCUAGUUGGUAAGGUAACGGCUUACCAAGGCAACGAUGCGUAGCCGACCUGAGAGGGUGAUCGGCCACACUGGAACUGAGACACGGUCCAGACUCCUACGGGAGGCAGCAGUAGGGAAUCUUCCGCAAUGGGCGAAAGCUUGACGGAGCAACGCCGCGUGAGUGAUGAAGGUCUUCGGAUCGUAAAACUCUGUUAUUAGGGAAGAACAAAUGUGUAAGUAACUAUGCACGUCUUGACGGUACCUAAUCAGAAAGCCACGGCUAACUACGUG
RNAcentral lists this ribosomal RNA (496 nucleotides) under uncultured bacterium. Its description in RNAcentral is "partial 16S ribosomal RNA". It matches the Rfam family "Bacterial small subunit ribosomal RNA", at positions 29 to 507 of the family's 1533-position model. The record is from RNAcentral.